Molecule: ribosomal RNA, 437 nt
Filed under: uncultured bacterium
Lineage: Bacteria
Description: bacterial SSU rRNA
Rfam family: Bacterial small subunit ribosomal RNA
Source: RNAcentral
AGGAGGCAGCAGUGGGGAAUGUUGCACAAUGGGCGAAAGCCUGAUGCAGCAACGCCGCGUGAGUGAUGAAGGCCUUCGGGUUGUAAAGCUCUGUCUUUGGGGACGAUAAUGACGGUACCCAAGAAGGAAGCCACGGCUAACUACGUGCCAGCAGCCGCGGUAAUACGUAGGUGGCGAGCGUUGUCCGGAUUUACUGGGCGUAAAGGAUGCGUAGGCGGAUAUUUAAGUGAGAUGUGAAAUACCCGGGCUUAACUUGGGUGCUGCAUUUCAAACUGGAUAUCUAGAGUGCGGGAGAGGAGAAUGGAAUUCCUAGUGUAGCGGUGAAAUGUGUAGAGAUUAGGAAGAACACCAGUGGCGAAGGCGAUUCUCUGGACCGUAACUGACGCUGAGGCAUGAAAGCGUGGGUAGCAAACAGGAUUAGAUACCCCGGUAGUCCC